Molecule: ribosomal RNA, 415 nt
Filed under: Bacillus pumilus
Lineage: Bacteria; Bacillati; Bacillota; Bacilli; Caryophanales; Bacillaceae
Description: bacterial SSU rRNA
Rfam family: Bacterial small subunit ribosomal RNA
Source: RNAcentral
AAGCUCUGUUGUUAGGGAAGAACAAGUGCGAGAGUAACUGCUCGCACCUUGACGGUACCUAACCAGAAAGCCACGGCUAACUACGUGCCAGCAGCCGCGGUAAUACGUAGGUGGCAAGCGUUGUCCGGAAUUAUUGGGCGUAAAGGGCUCGCAGGCGGUUUCUUAAGUCUGAUGUGAAAGCCCCCGGCUCAACCGGGGAGGGUCAUUGGAAACUGGGAAACUUGAGUGCAGAAGAGGAGAGUGGAAUUCCACGUGUAGCGGUGAAAUGCGUAGAGAUGUGGAGGAACACCAGUGGCGAAGGCGACUCUCUGGUCUGUAACUGACGCUGAGGAGCGAAAGCGUGGGGAGCGAACAGGAUUAGAUACCCUGGUAGUCCACGCCGUAAACGAUGAGUGCUAAGUGUUAGGGGGUUUCC